This is an RNA transcript of Gallus gallus (chicken), 5273 nucleotides long. RefSeq lists it as uncharacterized. The record is from RefSeq and is a predicted model, not a curated record. The transcript has 6 exons. Lineage: Eukaryota; Metazoa; Chordata; Aves; Galliformes; Phasianidae.
GAUGCAUUUCUCGCAUCUGCAGAGCCCCUGCUUUUAUUUCAGGACACAUAGAGACCUUAGCAGGGGCCGUGCUCUCUGUCUCUUGGGGGGAGGAAACUUCUCCCUGUUCCCUCUUUUCCCCACCUCUUCUUACUGAGUGUGACCUCAUUCUGUAUGCAGCGUCCGUUUUAUCUCUUUUUGUCAGCUAUCUUGUCUCUGUCCCCUCCCAAGCUCCUGUUCAUCUCCAGCCUGCCAAAGAGCCAUAAAAUAGAGGUGCUUGGGUUGGAAGGGACAUUAAAGAGCAAGGAGUCACUUAUAGAAUUGUAAAAACCAGCAAAACAAACAAACAAACAAACAAACAGUAUAAGCACAGAAUUAAAGAAGCCGACACCAUACUGCCAUUAGUUAGGAGCUCAUUGCUUGUGUUCCAGUUGAGAAGGGCCACAGAUCAUUUUGUCCAGCCGCGAAUGAGUGACGGUCACGUUCUCUCCAUCCCCAUUCAAGUGGGAUUUUUCAUCAUGAGUCAUGGGUUGCAAGCACUGUGGAGAAAUUUUCCCUUGAUGAAUGGAUUCAGCAUGUACGAAGGAAUGAGCAGGGUUGCUACCAGGAGCUCAUGGCGAGAAGAUCCCUGUGGAUAUGGGUUGCCCAGCACUCACACUGGAUUCUUCCACAGCCGGUGCCUUCCAAAUGCAGCCUGGAUUGGGAUCUGGGGAAAAAGAGAAAGCAAAGAUCCGGUAAAGCCCCUUCACUACUCAUGAAAACCAGUCUUAGUUGAUCUGCCACCAACACGACAUGUACUUCCCAUUCUCAAAGCACCAUUGAAUUUUUGUACGUGGGAAGGUUCCAACGCCCACAGAUUAGCCAUGGGCAUGGUGUUACUGAAACAAGCAGGACUGUGCGGUGAAGUAUCGAAGAGGGAGAGACUGCUGCGUAAGCAUCCACAAUGCCAUCAUCUAAUCUGAAGAAGCUCAAAAGAAGAUGGAGGAGGUCAGCGAACGGACUGCUGAACUGUUUCAUGUUCUGCUGCCAAAGGACUGUUCGGAGGCAUGGAAUCCAAAUUCCUGGUUGGUAUCCAUGCUGAGAUUGUGGAGACUCAUGGGAUGGGAGAAAUGGUUGGCACAGAAGGCAAUAGCAGUGUUGGUUGGGUUUACGGUUUUUAUGAAAAGCAUUUUCAUAGUCCUGUGUGUGAUUGAUUACAUGCUCGCUCUCUUCACUUCCUUUCUUUCCUCUUCCUCUGUUCAUUAAGUAUAGAUCACCACACUAGAAGAAGGCGAACUGUACAGGAACGAGAUUCAAUUGAUUGUUUGAGCCAUGGGUAGUGUAAGAGACUGAGAAGCAAGAGGGUUAAUGUCCCACAUGCUUCCUAGAAGAGUGAAAUGAGGUCACCACAGUAAGGAGAUAAGGAGUAGAUCGAGGAGGCGCCUACUGAAAUGAGGUAGCAUCACUGCAGAGGAUAUCAUCUUGCGAGACUAUGAAGACCUGUUGAGUAACAAUGGGAACUUAGUGGGGGAGGGAGAAAUCUACCAAAUUACACCUGCACACCACUGAGGAUCAGCUAUCAGUUGUAUUGGCAGGGAGAGAGUGAGGCCACCUACAGCCCCUCCCACCCAUGUCAUGUUGGAGGAGGCAAGACUACCACCCAGACCAGAGAAACAUUUACAACUUGUGCCUGAACUCUUCCUUAGGUCGUGACAAGGCGUUUCAGCCGACUGAGUGUCCCUGGUCUGUGCCCCUUCUGUUUGUGGUCAUGGUUGCUAUCACCCACCCGGUGUUCUGCUCUUCAUGUGUUUUUCAGGUCAUGGAAUUGUAACACUGAGGCCUAACAUGGUUUAAACACCUAAGCAAGACAUAUGUCAAUGCAGCAGUUGAGGCUAUCUGUCACACAGCCCCCAUCCUACCCUCUCCUCUAACAGACUCUAGCUAAAGUUUGGGAAAAUCCAGCCUGAUCUUACUUGUAUGUUUUCAUGGAUUCCUGACCCAAGAGAGUGCUUAUGUUGACUGCAUGUUUUGGAAAUCCAGGUGGAGAAGGGCCCAGAUCUUGUACAGAUGAUGAAACUGAGUAAUGAGCAACUUGUCAAGGCUGGAGCCUCUAUCCACAUACCCACCAACAGCACUGAAGCCUCUGCAGCUCUUGUUAGCAUCUGGGAGCUCCACUGAAACUCAGGUUUGGCCCUUGUAUCUGUGCUCUUAGCCAUGUUUGAUGAUCUCAAGCACCACUGCAGUCAUGCCUGUGGUUGGCCGUGGGUCCUCACAAUGUGUUCGUAAAAGGCUGGGAGGGAAGCUUUAUUUAAUGUUUAUUUAUUGUCAAUAUCUGCCGACCUGUUCAUAAUGAGGAGUUAAUUGGUGAAACCUUUUUUGCUGUGGUGCAUAUCAGUUCUGAAGGUGAAAGCACAAUUUAAAUGCUAAGCACAAUGACCAGUUGGUUGUUGUGUCCCACUAUCUGUAACUACACCCUCUACAAUCUCCUUUAUUUUUUCCCAGUUGCUUUUAAACCUGAAACAGUGCAUUACUUAUCCAGAACAUUUUCGAUACAAGGUUUCACUUUCAGUUCAUGUACUCUGUGCUUUCCUUUUGUAUAUCUUCAAUAAAUUUCCACGUUAAUUCCUCUCAUUUGUCCUCCAAUUCAUCUUCCCUGUGUUAUCCUUCAGUUUCACGGCAGAAUCAGUGGGAUCACAUGAAGUUCAUGCCAUAAACAGUGAUGGUAGAAGUAAGAAGGAAGAGCCCCAAAUGCUGGAAGAGAAAACACUACAGCUAAUGGUUUUACUGGGCUUUGUGUUCCUAAUCAUGUUUGGCAUUUGAGUGAGAGGAGUACUUUGCCCCCUUAAAAUCCCAACAGAAUUCAGCCACCAGUUCUUAUAAACACACGUAUAUUGUGCUGAUUGAUCAAAUUUCAGCCCAAUCUGCGGAGUCCAUCCAGGUGACUGAAAAGACACAGCAACUGAGGAUUCUAGAUAUUGUGUGAAGCUGUAAGCUAUGCUGAGGAUUAGAAAUUGAAGAUGAUAUGCCAUGGUGAUGGCUCACUCCCUUCUUAGGUAAUAAUAGUGCUCCAAUUGUAACCACCAAUGUGCUGCCAGGGUGGAGACGCCUUGCCAGUAAAAUAGGUUAGUCUGCUGAUGAAGAUUUCAAAAGACACAGCAUCACUUGCUAACCAUUAACAAUCCCUACAUCUGGCCUCAGGUUGAAGAGGAGGUUAAUAAUUCAUCUUGCCGUGAGAUAAAGCACAUCAAAUAUGGCAGCCCUUGAGGGAGUGCUCUAAAGACUCGGUGCAAGGUGUUUGGACCACAGCCUGGCCGUGACACAACCUGAACCUUUGCCUUUGCUCUCUGUUCAUCUGUGCCACUCAAUAACUGCUGUGAGCUGGGGGAUGAUGAUUUCUCAUCAUGGAGAAAUACGUCUUUCUGAAAGAGCGGACAAGUGAAUCUUCUGUGGGAGGAAUGUUCUCAUUUCUGAACAGAAGAGGUGUUAUUGUGAGCACAAAGCUGUGAUCUGGCCAGGCCAGAGAGUACUGAGAAAGGGGGAUGCAAAAAUAGCGCAGGCUGAUUCUGAGCAAGCAGGAGGUUCAUCGCUCACCACAGAGUGAGUUCUCAGCACAUGGCCACAUUUUGUGAGUCUACAGGUCGUGUCUACCCCUUCUGUUGAUCAUCUCCACAGGCAGAUGCAGGAGUUCCAUACAGAAGUGUGGGGAGAGACACUGGUUCAUUUUCCUGCACAGACAGUAAAUGAAAUGACAUUUCUUUGUAGUGACAACAACAGUAAUACUGAGAGCAAAGAAGCUUUUGGCUGGUGGAGAUCAGAAGAGUGUGUAGCAGCACAGAAGGCAUUGGGUUUCUCCCAGGCUUCUGAGUGUUGGGAUGAUCCCUAAAGAGUGAGAUGGGGCUGAGAAAGGAGUCAAAGGAGCAAAGGUGCAGGGUGGAGAUGGGGUAAAAUGCAGAAGUGCUACCAUGACGUAUUUAAUGUGAGCUUGUAAACAAGAUGGACAACAUCUGAUUACACUGUUUGAUGGUGACAGGAUAAGGAGAAGGGUUUUCUACUAAAAGAGGAGUGAUUAAGGUUAGUUACUUGAAGGAUGCCGUUGAUUCAGAUGCUGGUGAGGCACUGGCACAAGCUGCCCAGAGGAGCAGUGCAUGACCCAUCCCUGGAGGUGCUCAAGGACGGGUUGGAUGUGGACAUAGGAUUCUAGGAUACGAUGGUUAACUCUUUGAUCUUUAAGGUCCCUUCCAAACAAAAACAUUCCCUCCUAUGACUCUAUGAUUGACAGGGGAUGGACAGGCGGUUGCAAGAAAACAGAGCAAGGAGGAGAGCUGACGCAAAGAGACCGAUGGGACACUGCAUGCAGAAUGAGGGCAUGAUCAGCAAGAUCAGGUGGGCAUAAGGGGGAGAAGGGAGAAGAUUCCUCCCUUUAAGAAACAGGAAACACAGACCAUGAUGAGGUGUCUGACGUCCCCAAAUAAAAGCGGUAGCUCGGCAGACACAACAGAUGCACCAUGGGCUGCAUCACAGUCUCUCACUGUGGGUAACUCUGACAGCUAGAAAAAUACCACAGGACAGGUCCUGGGUUGCAACGCAAACCAGUGUCCAUCUGUAUCCAGAUCACAUCAAAGUAGGCGCUGUGAGAAGAGAUCUCCAAAAGAUGCUGGGGGAAGCGCAAUGGACCAUGGCGUGUCCUCGUGUCCCUGCCCUCCUGCUGCUGGUGGUGGUUGGUACUGGUGUGAACACCCAGAACACUUGCAUCUCCAGGGCUGAUGGUACUCUCCAGGCUCCAGUCCUGUUCCUUAACGCAUCCAGUGCUCAGGAAGGAGAAGUUGUCCUGGCUCGAUGUGUCUUUCAGAAACAGUUUCCUGCUACCCGAAUUGUCUUGUGCAAGGAUGGGUUGGAGGUGUACAGUGUGAAGGUCCAAGAGGGAAGGGUCAUAAACUCCAUGCUGCUGAACAUCACUGAGAGAAGUGCGGGGACAUACACAUGUUUCUACCAGCAGAGGAGCACGAAAAACAGGCUGAGGAGCUCUCCCCUCAGCCCUCCCUUGGACCUGCAGGUCACAGGUGGGACAUGACACCAGGGUGGCGGGGACACAGGGGAUGGGGGGACUGAACACCACAUAGAUUUUCAGGAUCAAGAAAUGCCAUAGAGAGACGUGGGCUCUGGAAUGGUCUCCCUCUCCAUCCCGUGGUGCAGAAAUGGGGCACUGCAGUGCCCAGGCUCAGGAAGCAGGUGCAGGGUUUGGGCACAAUCCCUUUCCUGGGAAGGGAUGCUGCAAGGGUUAUUACAAAAAUGUUUUGAGAAUAAGGAAUGGAAAC